AUUCCUCAAGCAAGAUUAUUUCCACAUUUCCCUUGACCUCUUCAACGACACUGAAGUACAAAGAUCUCGAUUGCUGAAUAUCAGUGAUAUAAGAUAGGGAUACUUCCUGCAAACCAUUUGAUGAUACUCCAAAGGAGAACGCUGUUUGGAUCCCUAGAUUUCAUGCUGGAAACUCUGAACCUUCCUACCCUUAAGAUCAGAGAAAAUAUUUUAAGAAAAAUGGAAAAAAGAAAAAA
RNAcentral lists this long non-coding RNA (236 nucleotides) under Phasianus colchicus (ring-necked pheasant). Its description in RNAcentral is "lncRNA (ENSPCLG00000005921.1)". Lineage: Eukaryota; Metazoa; Chordata; Aves; Galliformes; Phasianidae. The record is from RNAcentral.